RNAcentral lists this long non-coding RNA (8000 nucleotides) under Capsella rubella. RNAcentral describes it as "long non-coding RNA (CRUB_LNC000670)". The record is from RNAcentral. Lineage: Eukaryota; Viridiplantae; Streptophyta; Magnoliopsida; Brassicales; Brassicaceae.
GAAGAAACAGAGUGUUUGAAGGACCAACAGUUGCAGAACCUGAAAAUGCUCAGAAGAACUCUUAGAAGCACGAUGCCACGCUGGCAUCUUGUUGACAGCGCAACACUUCGAUCGUGAUGAGAAGCAGCACGUUUGGUGCCCAACGUUGGUAACGAAGUCAAAGGGCAGGAGUGACAGCUACAGCAAAAAGCAUGUAAAGUUGUCAGACAAAAGGUGGUUGUUGUUGGCUAGUGGGAAGCUAGUGAAGUCAACAUCAUGACAAGAAGCUGCGCAGUGUCCGCUGGAUAAAGAGAGGACCUGCGAGUUGUUUUGUUGCCUAUAUAAGAAGAGAGCUUUCUUCUUAUUAGGGUUAGCACUUUAAGAAGAAAAAGUGUGAGAGUUCUUUGUGUUCAUAUCUGAGUUUCAAACGAAGAAUUGUUGUGGGUUCUUUUGGUGAGUGAACAAAAGAGUGUGCAUAGCUGUUGCUGUGCUGGUAAGCUGGGUAGAUUAGGAAUCGAUCAGGACCAAAUCACAGUGUGUGAUGUUGGUUAACACUGAUCAAACAAGAUUGUAAAAGAGUUGUUUGAAGAUUGCUAAUAAAACCAAGUUUGAAGAAAUUUCUGUAUCUUUGUAGUCGUUUCAAGGUUCUAGUUCUUACAAUUGGUAUCAGAGCAGGAAACCGAUCUGUGAGACUUUCUCGUCUCCAAACAGGUUAGAUCCUGAACUAUGGAACCUACUACUGUUGGUACAGGAACAAGCAAGAACAUCACUCUGGAUACAAGAAGAUAUGGGUACUGGAAAGUUAGGAUGACACAACUCAUCAGAGGUCAAGUUGAAGAAACAUGGACUGCUGUAGAAGAAGGUUGGGAACCUUCGUUCGAGUCGACUGCUGAAAGGAACAACCAUAGAGAUAAAGCUGAAGAUGAUCGCCUAAGCCUUGUUGUCUUUACUGCCAAAAUUGACAAACUGCAAGAUUCUGAUACUGAUUCAGACAGCAAUGAUGAAGUGAAUCCUAAAAAGGAAUACAGGACGCUCUAUGACAGUUGGAUGCAACUGAGUCAAGACAAGCUUAAACUUCUGGAAGAAAAGCUGAGUCUUGAAGCCAAAAUCACUAGUGCCUAUGAAGAAAAAAAUCGUCCUCCCACUCCUACCUUAAGUUGUGAUAAGUUCACUCAGGACUUGUUCAAGAAAGCUGAAGAUCUUCACAUCUAUCUUAACAAAGAAAGGAUAGAGCAACCAUGCUAGAACGAGAGCUUAACGACAAGCAUAAGCAUAUCAGAAUGUUGAACAGUGCGUCGGGCGACCUGAAUAACAUUCUGAAAAGGCCUGAGCAUCAAGGAUUAGGAUACCAAGAAGGUCAAGAACAGUGCAACAAAAGGUCUGUGAAGUUUACCAGUGGAGGGAUGCUAGAAGAAACAGUGGAUAAUCAACAGUCUGGCAUUGAUAACUUGGUGGAACUUAGUACUGUGAAAAGAAAAGACAAUACUAAAAGUUACUCUACGAGAAGAGUGUUCAACAGAAGGUUUUAUGGAUGUGGUCACUGUGGAAGAAAAGGUCAUCAAAGGAGCAGAUGCUACAAGUUCAAGGAAAGAGUCUGUCUUCUAUGGACUCUGAACAGAGGAUACUUAGAACCAACCAAGUUCUGUCACAUGUGGGUGUCAAAGAAAGAUCUCUAUGGAGACAUGCAGAGUGAAGUGUCUAACAAACAUCUUCAAGACAUGUACGAUACAGAAGAGGCAGUCUACAACAGUUGUGAAAGUGAAGUCACUAUAGAGCAUCUGAAGGAGAAGACAGGAGAUGUCCAAAACUUGAACUGCACCCUCGUGUGUACAGAACCCACAGUUGCAGCUAUGCAUGCCCAUGUUGCGUAUACCUCUGCGGCUACUCCGGAUGGUAAUUCGUGGUAUUUUGACAGUGGUUGCUCUAGACACAUGACCGGAGAUCGAAAUACUCUUGACGACUACACAAAUGUGUCAAGUGGAAAAGUCACCUUCGGGGAUGGCGGUAAGGGCAACAUAAAAGGAAAGGGUUUGAUUUCAAAAUCAAAUCAACCUCAAUUGGAAAAUGUCUACUUUGUUGAGGGAUUAAAGGCUAACUUGAUCAGCAUCAGUCAGCUCUGCGAUGAUGGCUUGAAAGUUUCUUUUACAAAGAUUAACUGUAGUGCCUGUGAUGAAAAUGAUAAUGAAGUGCUUUCAGGUGUGCGAUCAGAAAAUAAUUGCUAUAUGUGGAAGAAGUCUGAAACGUGUCUGUCGGCAACAACGUCUAAAUUAGAUCUGUGGCAUAGACGUCUGGGACAUAUUAACACACAGAGUUUGAUCAAGAUUGUGAAUGCAGAAGUGGUUAGAGGAAUUCCCAAGCUGGAAGGAAAAUCUGAUGCAGUAUGUGAGGCAUGUAGCAAAGGAAAGCAGAUCAAAGUUCAACACAAGAAAACAGCUGAUAUUGGAACAAAGAAAAUUCUUGAGCUUGUCCACAUGGAUCUCAUGGGACCAAUGCAAACAGAAAGCCUGAAUGGGAAAAGGUAUGCCUUUGUUUUAGUUGAUGAUUUUUCAAGAUACACAUGGGUUAGAUUUUUAAGAGAAAAAUCAGAAGCAGUUGAAAGCUUUAGGAUUCUGGCUCUUCAGCUGCAAACUGAAAAGGGAAGCAUUGUCCAAAUCCGAAGUGAUCAUGGUGGUGAGUUUCAAAAUGAGGAGUUUGAAAAGUUCUGUAACCUGCAAGGCAUCAGACAUCAAUAUUCUGCCCCAAGAACGCCACAACAGAAUGGAAUUGUUGAAAGGAAAAACAGAACUCUUCAAGAAAUGGCAAGGGCAAUGAUUCAUGGAAACAAUGUGUCACCUAGGUUCUGGGCUGAAGCAAUUAACACAGCCUGUUACAUCAUCAAUCGUGUUUAUGUUAAACCAAAAACGAGCACUACUCCUUACGAAAUUUGGAAAGGAAAGACACCAAAUCUGUGCUACUUUCAUACCUUUGGAUGCAUAUGCUACAUUCUAAAUGAUAAAGAUCAUCUUGGAAAAUUUGAUGCAAGGAGUGAUGAAGGGAUAUUUCUGGGAUAUGCAACAAAUAGCAUGGCUUACAGAGUGUAUAAUAAACGCCUUAAGAGAGUAGAGGAAUCUGUCAAUAUCGUGUUUGAUGACAGAAGUCCAACACAAUUGUUUCCAGUUGCUGUAGAUGAUGAAACUCCUAAUGAGGAGGCUACUCAGGAAAAACCAGAAGAAGACCAAGAAAGGAUAAGUAACGAUAGUCAAGGUGAAACAUCAGAAACAGUGGGUGAAACUGCAAACACUCCGUUAAAAGUACCAAGAAAUCACUCUGAAUCGGAUGUUAUUGGACACUUGAGAGGUGAUCGUACUACUCGGGGAGUCCAGAUUAACUUCAGAGAAAUGCUUCAACAUUCAUGCUUUGUGUCUGUUAUGGAGCCCAAAGAUGUGUUUGCAGCUCUUGAAGAUGAGUUUUGGUUCUCAGCUUGUCAUGAAGAGUUAAACCAGUUUACCCGACAUGAUGUGUGGAAUCUUGUUCCAAGACCUACUCAUAUAAAUGUCGUGGGAACGAAAUGGAUUUUCAAGAACAAGAUUGAUGAAAAUGGAAAUGUAACAAGGAAUCGAGCAAGAUUGGUUGCUCAAGGAUAUUCACAGGUUGAAGGAGUAGACUUUGAUGAGACAUUUGCUCAUGUAGCUCGUCUAGAAUCUAUUCGGCUGCUUCUUGGUAUGGCAUGUCUUCUAAACAUCAAGAUGUUUCAAAUGGAUGUAAAGAGUGCUUUUCUAAAUGGAUUGAUCCAAGAAGAAGUCUACGUAUCUCAACCUAAAGGAUUUGAAGAUCCAAACUUUCCAGAUCAUGUCUACAAGCUGAAGAAAGCUCUCUAUGGAUUAAAGCAGGCUCCUCGUGCUUGGUAUGAACGUCUUACUGAGUUUCUGGUUGAUAAUGGGUUCAAGCGUGGGAGUGUUGACAAAACCCUGUUUGUCUAUGAAGAAGGUGUGGACAUUCUUAUUGUCCAAAUAUAUGUUGAUGAUAUUGUGUUUGGAAGCAUAAGAAAAGAAUUAGUGAAUACCUUUGUAAAGGUUAUGACAAAGGAAUUUGAGAUGAGUAUGGUAGGAGAAAUGAACUACUUUCUGGGUCUGCAAAUCAAACAGACAGAUGAUGGGAUUCAUGUAUCUCAGGGAAACUAUGCCAAGAGCUUAAUUCAAAGAUUUGGAAUGCAGACUAGCAAGACGUCCAGAACAGCAAUGAGCUCCACUGUGAAACUAUCCAAAGAUGAAUAGGGACAGAAAGUUGAUGAAAAACUAUAUCGGGCUAUGAUUGGAAGUCUUCUGUACCUCACUACAAGCAGACCUGAUCUAUGCUUCAGCGUGGGAGUCUGUGCAAGAUAUCAGGCCGAUCCAAGAUUGUCUCAUCUGAACGCUGUUAAGAGGAUCAUCAAAUAUGUGAAAGGUACCACUGACCGAGGGUUGUAUUAUACUAAGCAAACUAAUCCGAAUCUUGCUGGUUUUUGUGACUCAGAUUGGGCAGGUAAUCUGGAUGAUAGAAGAAGUACCUCAGGCGGAUGCUUCUUUCUGGGAAAUAACCUCAUAUCCUGGCACAGUAAGAAGCAAAGCUGUGUAACCUUGUCAACAGCUGAAGCUGAAUACAUUGCCCUAAGAAGUUGCUGCACGCAAUUAAUGUGGAUGAAACAAAUGCUAUCUGACUAUGGUAUUGUUUCCUCAACCUUAUUUGUGUAUUGUAACAACAUGAGUGCUAUAAAUAUUUCAAAAAAUCCUGUCCAACACUCUCGUACAAAACAUAUUGACAUUAGACAUCAUUUCGUUAGAGAACUUGUUGAAAACAAAGUGAUAGAGAUCUCUCAUGUAUCCUCAGAAAAACAACUUGCUGAUAUGUUCACUAAACCAUUAGAUUUAAACAGUUUUGUAAAUCUGCAAAAAUCUAUUGGAUUGUGUGAUCACUAAUGAUUCUUGUCUUUAAGGCGUAUGCAACAGGUUCCUCUGUACAGGGUUGCAUAGCUUUGUGUCUGUAUUUUAAACAAAAAACUUUCAGCAAGUCUUCUCAGGAAAACAGCUGCUUCGCAUACUACUUGUCGAAGAAGUCCGAUACGGAUGUGUAGUGGCUGCAAGAAAAAGAAAAUCUCCAGAAAAGUGUAGGCAGGAAAGGGGUGAUACUUCUUUCUAUCUUCAAAGGUACAUCGUGUGUAUAUAUGUACUUUAUCAAAAAAAAAAACAAAAAAAAAAACAAAAAAAAAAAACAAAAAAAAAAAACGAAAAAAAAGAUAAAAGUUUCAAAGAAACAAAAAAAAAAGGGGAAGUUAAAGGAUCCCUCUUCUCUCUGCUCAUAUCACCCCCCUCGCCGUGAGAGCAGCUCCUACACAUCUUGAGGAUGAAAUCUAAAGAAGUAUGCUGAGUGUAGACUAGCCUGAAGAGAUCAAUGUGUAUGUUUCAUCUCAUUGGGCUGCAAAGACUUUGUCUUCCAAGUAACUCAAGACGUAAACAGCUAUGCACCUCUGUCCAAAGGAAUAUUUACAUAUAGUCUGGGAAUUGAACUCAUGUGUGUAUUAUCAAUCCUUGAGACUUUGUUGUUUACAUUUCCUGUCAGUGUAUAUCCUAGAGUGUCUCUGGUGGUUAUUCUGUCUCAGUUCUUAUCUGCAUAAGUAUUUAUGUAUUUUGUAUCUCGUGUUGGGCCAUGGUUGGACCUAUCUGUGGGCCUAAUUGGUUCUGUGUGGAUUUGAUCUGUUUGUUGAGUACUGUUCAUGCACACUAGGGUUGCAACUUAUAAGGACAUCAUCUAUAUCCUUUGCUCCCAUUCUCCACAACAAUUAAAGCGGCUACUUCUUUCAGAUCUGAUAAUCUUCUUGGUCAUCUGCAAACAUGUCCCAACCAAACGAUGGGUCUCGACCAGGUCAAUCGCAACCGUCCUCUGCUCAUCCUACUUCCGCUGCCACGACAAGCCAUGCGAUUCCUCCUCUUUUCUCUGGUGUCAAAUCUGGUGCACCUCCUGCAAAGAAAUCGAGAUCCAAAGUCGUUUCUCCUUCCCCAGAAGUCUAUCCUGCUCUUACUCGGUUUUUGCGCCGUCUUUCCUCCGCUCAAGUUCCCCUUUCGUAUUCUGCAUGUCUUCCUGACGUUUCAGAAGCCCAAGUUCCGUUAGGACAACUUCAUCUCUCUGAUGAUACUACUGAGUCAUCUCCUCCACCGGAAUUCCUCAACCGGUACAUCUUGCAACGACGUCGCAUUGCUGAUCUGAUUAGACGGUUUCCUGAAUUAAACAGACCAGCCACUCCCAUUUUCUCGUCUCGGUUUAUCUCUGCUCACGCUGCAGAGCGAUUCCAGUUUCUCCAUGGUCAAGACUUCAUCCCCAUGAAGAUUCUACGGCUGAAAUACAAAAUGAUGAUGUUCGUUCCAUCCUGUUCAGGGCAGACCUUCUUCCAACAGUUAUCGAGAUUGACAGUUUCAUCGAAACGGUGGUCAAGGAAUUCUAUGCCAAUCUUCCGGAGGCUGAAUGUGGGGACUCUGAGGUUCUCAGAGUCUUUGUUAGAGGGUCUAUGUAUGAGUUCUCACCGUCUCUCAUCAAUCGCCUCUUCCAACUGCCAAAUGAGCCAUAUCCUUUGAAUACAUCUCCUUUGAAUACAUCUCAACUUCGGGCCUUCGGAGAUCUUGAUGCUGUGGCUGCUCUCCUUACUGAUGGGCAAGUGUCAACUGUGGCUGAAGUGUCAACCGGUCUCCUUGGCGAUAUCAUAACUGUUCUUCAUCAAAUCAGCUGUUUCAACUGGUUACCUUCCACAAAUCAUCGUGUUCUGUCCCCUGACAGAUGUGUUCUUCUGUACUUAAUAGCCAAAGGGGAGCGCUUAAACUUUGGAAAGAUCGUGUUUGAUGAGAUUCGCUCGUGUGCAUCUCGCUCGGGUGCUGCCUCAUCGACUGAUUGUUUAAUCUUCCCCAACCUGAUUGAUCAGCUGUUACGUUUUCAGCGGGUCAUUCCAUCUCUGACUGGUGAUGUCUUGUCCUCUACUCCUGCAAUGUUUGUGACCCCGGAAGCGGUUGCGCCUACAUCUGGUCCCUCACUGACCUUGGCUGCUGAUCUUGCUCAUCUAGCUCACUCUGCUACGACCAUCAUGCAACGAUUCUCAAGUAAGUCCUUCUUGUUCUUAGUCUACUUCUCUGUUUCACACCUGUUUUUUAUAUGAGUCUGUGCACUCAAGCAGGGGGAGAAUAUGUUGAUGUCUGUACUCGUAAACUUAAGGAGCACACAGAAAGCGACAACCUUGAUGUUGCGGAUAGUGACUAGUUUGAUCAAUAGAUCUUCUGUUUAGGGGGAGUAGUGAGUUGUGUUUGAUGCUUAAGGAAUUAUUCAUGUUUAAGUGUAUUUGAAACCUGUGCUUGUUUCAAAUGAUUGUAUGUGCUGAACCUUGUCCUCUUAAUCUAUCCUUCUCUAAGUCCUCUGGAUCAACUUGGAACGAUACUGUUGUAUCUUGUAUUGCCUUUGCUGCGUGUGUCUGUUUGUUCGUAUGCAGGUAGCUUGAGGCACAUACUCAGACAAAAAGGGGGAGAUUGAAGAAACAGAGUGUCUGAAGGACCAACAGUUGCAGAACCUGAAAAUGCUCAGAAGAACUCUUAGAAGCACGAUGCCACGCUGGCAUCUUGUUGACAACGCAACACUUCGAUCGUGAUGAGAAGCAGCACGUUUGGUGCCCAACGUUGGUAACGAAGUCAAAGGGCAGGAGUGACAGCUACAGCAAAAAGCAUGUAAAGUUGUCAGACAAAAGGUGGUUGUUGUUGGCUAGUGGGAAGCUAGUGAAGUCAACAUCAUGACAAGAAGCUGCGCAGUGUCCGCUGGAUAAAGAGAGGACCUGCGAGUUGUUUUGUUGCCUAUAUAAGAAGAGAGCUUUCUUCUUAUUAGGGUUAGCACUUUAAGAAGAAAAAAGUGUGAGAGUUCUUUGUGUUCAUAUCUGAGUUUCAAACGAAGAAUUGUUGUGGGUUCUUUUGGUGAGUGAACAAAAGAGUGUGCAUAGCUGUUGCUGUGCUGGUAAGCUGGGUAGAUUAGGAAUCGAU